AGAACCUAAUCGCUUAAUUUCUAAACGAAAUCGGGGGACCCAAUCUUUUGUGGUGAAAACCACUAGGGGUGAGUCCAUUUGAAAAAUGGUAGGGCUACUCUCAUAGCCCGAAUCCGACAGCUAACCCCGAAAGCGUUGUGAGGGAAAAU
This 149-nucleotide small RNA is filed under the name Bacillus sp. (in: firmicutes). Its description in RNAcentral is "Bacillus sp. c-di-AMP sequence". It matches the Rfam family "c-di-AMP riboswitch aptamer (ydaO/yuaA leader)". From Rfam's summary of the family: This family represents a conserved RNA structure found upstream of the ydaO and yuaA genes in Bacillus subtilis and related genes in other bacteria. The ydaO/yuaA element is thought to act as a genetic "off" switch for the ydaO and yuaA genes in its native state. It is believed that the element may be triggered during osmotic shock leading to activation of ydaO, a predicted amino acid transporter gene, and members of the yuaA-yubG operon which code for KtrA and KtrB K+ transporters. The record is from RNAcentral. Lineage: Bacteria; Bacillati; Bacillota; Bacilli; Caryophanales; Bacillaceae.